This 451-nucleotide ribosomal RNA is filed under the name uncultured bacterium. RNAcentral's name for it is "SSU rRNA". It matches the Rfam family "Bacterial small subunit ribosomal RNA", at positions 26 to 518 of the family's 1533-position model. The record is from RNAcentral.
AGAGCGAACGCUGGCGGCAGGCCUAACACAUGCAAGUCGAGCGCCCGUAGCAAUACGGGAGCGGCAGACGGGAUAGUAACACGUGGGAACGCGCCCUUCGGUUCGGAAUAACUCAGGGAAACUUGAGCUAAUACCGGAUACGCCCUUACGGGGAAAGAUUUAUUGCCGAAGGAACGGCCCGCGUCCGAUUAGCUAGUUGGUGAGGUAAUGGCUCACCAAGGCGACGAUCGGUAGCUGGUCUGAGAGGAUGACCAGCAUCACUGGGACUGAGACACGGCCCAGACUCCUACGGGAGGCAGCAGUGGGGAAUAUUGGACAAUGGGCGCAAGCCUGAUCCAGCCAUGCCGCGUGGAUGAUGAAGGCCUUAGGGUUGUAAAGUCCUUUUAACGGGGAAGAUAAGUGACGGUACCCGUAGAAUAACGCCCCGGCUAACGUUCGUGCCAGCAGCCGC